Molecule: non-coding RNA, 26 nt
Filed under: Mus musculus (house mouse)
Lineage: Eukaryota; Metazoa; Chordata; Mammalia; Rodentia; Muridae
Source: RNAcentral
UGCAGAGCAGGGCCAGACUUGCAGUU